RNAcentral lists this ribosomal RNA (326 nucleotides) under uncultured eukaryote. Its description in RNAcentral is "partial 18S ribosomal RNA". It matches the Rfam family "Eukaryotic small subunit ribosomal RNA", at positions 1470 to 1796 of the family's 1831-position model. The record is from RNAcentral.
CCCUUAGAUGUCCUGGGCCGCACGCGCGCUACACUGAACGGAUCAGCGCGUUUUCCCUUCCCGAGAGGGACGGGUAACCUGCUGAACCCCGUUCGUGGUAGGGAUCGGGGCUUGCAAUUAUUCCCCGUGAACCAGGAAUGCCCAGUAAGUGCAAGUCAUAAGCUUGCGCUGAUUACGUCCCUGCCCUUUGUACACACCGCCCGUCGCUACUACCGAUUGAACGUUUUAGUGAGGUACUCGGACUGAGCCUCAGAAGAUUCACGUCUUUUGUGCUGCUCGGGAAGAUUCCCAAACUUGAGCGUUUAGAGGAAGUAAAAGUCGUAACA